Molecule: ribosomal RNA, 438 nt
Filed under: uncultured bacterium
Lineage: Bacteria
Description: bacterial SSU rRNA
Rfam family: Bacterial small subunit ribosomal RNA
Source: RNAcentral
GCAGAACGCGAAGAACCUUACCAGGUCUUGACAUCCCUCUGACCGGUCCGUAACGGGACCUUUCCUUCGGGACAGAGGAGACAGGUGGUGCAUGGUUGUCGUCAGCUCGUGUCGUGAGAUGUUGGGUUAAGUCCCGCAACGAGCGCAACCCCUAUCCUUAGUAGCCAGCACAUCAGGUGGGCACUCUAGGGAGACUGCCAGGGAUAACCUGGGGGAAGGUGGGGAUGACGUCAAAUCAUCAUGCCCCUUAUGAUCUGGGCUACACACGUGCUACAAUGGUGACUACAAAGAGAGGCAGCCCUGUGAAGGUGAGCGAAUCUCAAAAAAGUCAUCUCAGUUCGGAUUGUAGUCUGCAACUCGACUACAUGAAGCUGGAAUCGCUAGUAAUCGCGAAUCAGCAUGUCGCGGUGAAUACGUUCCCGGGUCUUGUACACACCG